UAGCCACGGUAAUACCAGCUCCGCGAGUGGUCGGGGCUAUUAUUGGGCCUAAAGCGCCCGUAGCCGGCCCGGUAAGUCAUCCCCUUAAAGACCCCGGCUCAACCGGGGGAAGUGGGGGUGGGAUACUACCCGGGCGUAGGGGCGGGGAGGAGGGCCGAGCGGGUACGUCCCGGACGUAGGGGCGGAAAUACCUCAGAUCCCGGGACGGACCACCAGUGGCGAAAGAC
RNAcentral lists this ribosomal RNA (227 nucleotides) under uncultured archaeon. RNAcentral's name for it is "partial 16S ribosomal RNA". It matches the Rfam family "Archaeal small subunit ribosomal RNA", at positions 462 to 674 of the family's 1478-position model. The record is from RNAcentral.